This 115-nucleotide ribosomal RNA is filed under the name Alphaproteobacteria bacterium. The record is from RNAcentral. Lineage: Bacteria; Pseudomonadati; Pseudomonadota; Alphaproteobacteria.
AUUGGUCAUCAUAGCGGAGAUGCAACACCUGAAUCCAUCUCGAACUCAGACGUGAAAAGCUCCUGCGCCGAGGGUACUUAGCCUUAAGGCUUGGAAGAUUAGGUCAUGACCAAUC